This is a non-coding RNA of Aegilops tauschii subsp. strangulata, 3143 nucleotides long. The record is from RefSeq and is a predicted model, not a curated record. NCBI's taxonomy places the organism in Eukaryota, Viridiplantae, Streptophyta, Magnoliopsida, Poales, Poaceae.
UAGGGUUUAGUUCCUCUGAUCUCAUUGUAGAUCGACUCUAUAAUCCUCAUAUACACAAGCAAUAUAAUCAAGCAGGACGUAGGGUUUUACCCCUUAGAGAGGGCCUGAACCUGGGUAAAUAUCAUUUCCUGCGUCUGUUGUUCCCCGUUAGGGAUGGCAAUUUUAUCCAUGGAUCUUGAUAUCCACGCAUACCUGACCCGGUUGGGCAAGGAUAUGGAGCGUAGUUCUGCCCAUGGAUCCAUGGAUUUUGAUACCCGCGAACAGCCGGGUUGGGCAUGGACAUAAUUUAUGAUCCAUGGAUAUCCAAUCGAUAACCGUAUGAUAGGUGGGGCCAUAUGUCAGUCACACUGGACUAAGCAGAAGUCCAACACCCCAAGUAGUAGCAGUCACACAAGGUCAAAGCCUAUCGCCCCAGCCCAUGUUUCGUGAUCCCCCACAACCCCACUAACCUAAUUAUAUUAAACCUAAUCUAGUCAACCCCCAAUCAUCCCAAGUCUCCAGCAGUCCAGCUCCCUCCAUAGCGCAGCAGCACUCUGCGUCUGACAAAUCUCAAUCGUCGCCCCCGCCUCUCCCUGGACAUCCACCUCAUACCGGCGAUAGGCGCCCAACCCCGGCACCCGGGUUCGACGACCGGCCCCGGGACUGGCCUCGGUGACCAACACCGGCGACAGGCCUUGGCGACGAGCAUUGGCGACAGGCAUGUGGGCACAUACCCAAGGAGUCAACCUCCAAUGGAAGGGGGCAAGGGCAACAGUGGGGGCAACAAUGGGAAGGGCAGGCCCGGGACAGUUAUCAUCCCACGGAGGAGUUUGCCUGGCGAGCAACAGGGUGUCAUCAGUGGAAACACUCCCAAAAACAGUGUUGCCCCUACAGAUGUCUCAGGUGUGGCUGGAGCUUCCAUGGUCUCAAGUUCAACUCUACAAGAGGGUACCAGUACAACAGUGGAGCAACCAAAACUAACCGGUUCUAGAAGGAAGCGUACAUCAGAUGUAUGGGAAAAUUUUAAGACAGAACUAAUCAAUGGGAAAUGGCAGGCAAUAUGCAACUGGUGUCAUAAGCCAUAUGCUGGAGAAUCAACCUCUGGUACGUCACACUUAAGGACUCAUCGUAAUAAUUGUUUGGCUCGGCAUGUAGUGGGUCCACAACAAAACAAAUUAAAGUUGUCAAAAUUUGGAGACCUAUGUUUUUGAUCAAGAACUUGCUAGAAAGGAACUUGCAUUGAUGAUAUGUGUGCAUGAGUACCCUUUGUCUAUUGUUGAUCAUGCUGGCUUCCGAAAAUUUUGUGGUACUUUGCCACCAAUGUUCAAGGUGGUGUCUAGAAAUACCAUUUGGCAGGACAUUAUAAAUACAUUUGGUGUCCAAAAGAAUAGCAUGGUGAAGUACUUUGCAAUGUUUGAGAACCGAGUUGCCAUCACAACAGAUUUGUGGUCGGCUGGCCAUCAAAAGAGGGGCUAUAUGGCUGUAACUACACAUUAUAUUGAUGCUUCUUGGAAACUAAAGAGCUAGCUAAUGAGGUUUAUUUAUGUUCCAUGUCCACACAAUGCUGAAGUUAUAUGUGAAGAACUACAUGCAUGUCUUGUUAAGUGGCACCUUGAGAAGAAGAUAUCCACGGUGGCCUUGGACAAUUGUGCGUCAAAUGACAAGGCUAUCGAAAUUAUGCCAAAUAAGUUGGACACCUCUUCUCUUAUGAUGGACGGAUCUUUGUUGCAUAUGCAUUGUGCUGCUCAUAUAUUAAAUCAGAUUGUAAAAGAUGGAUUGGAUGUCAUGGAGAAAGGAACUAAGAGGGUACAAGAUAGUGUUGCCUUUUUGUCAGCCACACCUAAAAGACAUGAGAAGUUUGAAAAGAUGGCACGCCUUUUCAACAAUGAAUACAAGUGUAGAUUGGCUCUUGAUUGUAAAACUAGGUGGAAUUCUACCUACAUAAUGUUAAAAGGUGCAUUGCAAUACAAAGAUGUUCUUGAAAGACUUUAUAUACGUGAAAAGAAUUUUACUUGUCCAACCGAAGAAGAUUGGGUCUUUGCUAUGGAGGUUUGUGAUAGGCUGAAAGUGUUCUUUGAUGUCAAAGAGUUGUUGUCGGGCACUCCAUAUGUUACAGCUAGUCUUUUCUUUCCGCAAAUAUGUGGCAUUCGGUUGGCAAUUCGUAAAUGGGAAACUAGUAAACAUAGUGUCAUAAAAGCUAUGUCUAAGGAAAUGAAAGACAAGUUCGAGAAGUAUUGGACAGAUGUCCAUCGUCUUAUGGCUAUUGCCACCAUUGUUGAUCCACAUUGUAAGAUGCAUAUGUUGAAGGCUUCAUUUGGGUCAUCGUAUGGAACUGAACAUAUGCGUCCAUAGAAGUUCAUAAAACAAAGAAGUUAAUGCUAGAUUUGCUGGCUGAAUAUCGAGAUGUAUCUCAGUGUGUUGAAACAUCUAUUGUUGGAAACACCCCAACUGUUCCUAAUGGUGGUGUGGAUGAAAUUUUGGGCGUGUUUGAGCAAUACUUGUCUUCACAACCUGUCGCUCCUUCUCCAGUUCGCACUGAAUUGGACAUGUACUUGGAUGAGCCCCUUAUUCAUAGAACAACAGAUUUUGACAUUAUUAAUUGGUGGAAAGUUGGAGGUGCCAAGUACCCUACUUUGCAGAAGAUUGCUCAUGAUAUAUUACCCAUCCCUAUUACAUCUAUGGCAUCAGAGUCAGUCUUUAAUACUAGUGGGAGGUUACUUAGUGUACAUCGCAAUCGGCUUACACCAAGCAUGGUUGAAGCUCUUAUGUGUAUGCAAGCUUGGUCACGAGCGGACAUGUUAGGUGGUAUCAACUUCGCUCUACAAGCAGUUCAAAAUGUUCUUGAUGAUGAAGAAGAAGUGAUGGAUGAAAAUGAGUCCAUCAUUACUGAAGACUAAUUUCGAGCCAAGUGUGCUCAUUUGGACAUGUGGCCCAAUUACUAGUGCACGUACUGUUGGAAGUGCAUUUGAAUUUUGAAAUAAGUUACGUACUUUAUUUAUGCAACUUCGGUUGUGAUGUAAUAAGAUCUUACAACUUUGGUUGUGAUGUAAUAAGAUUUAAGACAAGAAUUCUACUAUGAGACUAUUUGAGUUGUCAACUUGUCAUUGUGUGGUCUAAUGUUUUUAACGAAAUAAGAUAAGAUUGAAGACAAGUUUUUUACUACC